This 253-nucleotide ribosomal RNA is filed under the name uncultured bacterium. RNAcentral's name for it is "partial 16S ribosomal RNA". It matches the Rfam family "Bacterial small subunit ribosomal RNA", at positions 524 to 776 of the family's 1533-position model. The record is from RNAcentral.
UACGUAGGGCGCGAGCGUUGUCCGGAAUUAUUGGGCGUAAAGAGCUCGUAGGCGGUUUGUUGCGUCGGAUGUGAAAGCCCGGGGCUUAACCCCGGGUCUGCAUUCGAUACGGGCAGACUGGAGUGUGGUAGGGGAGAUCGGAAUUCCUGGUGUAGCGGCGAAAUGCGCAGAUAUCAGGAGGAACACCGGUGGCGAAGGCGGAUCUCUGGGCCAUUACUGACGCUGAGGAGCGAAAGCGUGGGGAGCGAACAGG